GGGGAAUUUUGGACAAUGGGCGAAAGCCUGAUCCAGCCAUGCCGCGUGCAGGAUGAAGGCCUUCGGGUUGUAAACUGCUUUUGUACGGAACGAAAAGACUCUGGUUAAUACCUGGGGUCCAUGACGGUACCGUAAGAAUAAGCACCGGCUAACUACGUGCCAGCAGCCGCGGUAAUACGUAGGGUGCAAGCGUUAAUCGGAAUUACUGGGCGUAAAGCGUGCGCAGGCGGUUAUAUAAGACAGAUGUGAAAUCCCCGGGCUCAACCUGGGAACUGCAUUUGUGACUGUAUAGCUAGAGUACGGUAGAGGGGGAUGGAAUUCCGCGUGUAGCAGUGAAAUGCGUAGAUAUGCGGAGGAACACCGAUGGCGAAGGCAAUCCCCUGGACCUGUACUGACGCUCAUGCACGAAAGCGUGGGGAGCAAACAGGAUUAGAUACCCUGGUAGUCCACGCCCUAAACGAUGUCAACUGGUUGUUGGGUCUUCACUGACUCAGUAACGAAGCUAACGCGUGAAGUUGACCGCCUGGGGAGUACGGCCGCAAGGUUGAAACUCAAAGGAA
RNAcentral lists this ribosomal RNA (560 nucleotides) under uncultured Acidovorax sp. Its description in RNAcentral is "bacterial SSU rRNA". It matches the Rfam family "Bacterial small subunit ribosomal RNA", at positions 356 to 909 of the family's 1533-position model. The record is from RNAcentral. Lineage: Bacteria; Pseudomonadati; Pseudomonadota; Betaproteobacteria; Burkholderiales; Comamonadaceae.